GCCUCUGAUUUAUUAUAGGAGGUCCAGCCUGCCCAGUGACCCAGUUAAACGGCCGCGGUACCCUAACCGUGCGAAGGUAGCGCAAUCACUUGUUCUUUAAAUGAGGACUAGUAUGAAUGGCAUCACGAAGGCUACACUGUCUCCCCCCUCCAAUCAGUGAAACUGAUCUCCCCGUGAAGAAGCGGGGAUAAAACCAUAAGACGAGAAGACCCCAUGGAGCUUAAAACUCAGUUCCACCUGCACACCAAUAUAUCACAUCAACCCUGCAGACCUGCUUACUAGUUUUCGGUUGGGGUGACCACGGAGCAAAACAAAACCUCCACGACGAAAGGACAUCUCCCUAAUCCAAGAGCAACAACUCUAAGAAUCAAAAAAUUGACGUUACUUGAUCCAAGUUUAUUGAUCAACGAACCAAGUUACCCUGGGGAUAACAGCGCAAUCCAUUUCAAGAGCCCCUAUCGACAAAUGGGUUUACGACCUCGAUGUUGGAUCAGGGUAUCCUAGUGGUGCAGCCGCUACUAAAGGUUCGUUUGUUCAACGAUUAAAACCCUACGUGAUCUGAGUUCAGAC
Molecule: ribosomal RNA, 570 nt
Filed under: Phrynomantis bifasciatus (banded rubber frog)
Lineage: Eukaryota; Metazoa; Chordata; Amphibia; Anura; Microhylidae
Description: partial 16S ribosomal RNA
Rfam family: Bacterial large subunit ribosomal RNA
Source: RNAcentral